This 54-nucleotide transfer RNA is filed under the name Lactococcus garvieae IPLA 31405. RNAcentral describes it as "tRNA-Gly". It matches the Rfam family "tRNA", at positions 19 to 71 of the family's 71-position model. Rfam says of the family: Transfer RNA (tRNA) molecules are approximately 80 nucleotides in length. Their secondary structure includes four short double-helical elements and three loops (D, anti-codon, and T loops). The record is from RNAcentral. Lineage: Bacteria; Bacillati; Bacillota; Bacilli; Lactobacillales; Streptococcaceae.
UAGAACACAACCUUGCCAUGGUUGGGGUCGCGAGUUCGAAUCUCGUCGUUCGCU